This 4404-nucleotide ribosomal RNA is filed under the name Triticum aestivum (bread wheat). RNAcentral's name for it is "partial small subunit ribosomal RNA". Lineage: Eukaryota; Viridiplantae; Streptophyta; Magnoliopsida; Poales; Poaceae. The record is from RNAcentral.
AUGGACACCGCCAUCGGUGCCGCAAAGUGGGUGCUGGGCAAGGCGCUGGCCCCCGUCACGGAUGGCUUGCUGGAGGCCUGGGCGGCUAGCGCCAAUCUCGAUCACAACAUCGACGCCCUCAAGAUGGAGCUGCUGUAUGCGCAUGGGAUGCUCGAGAACGCGCAGGGCAGGGGCGUCCGUGGCGUCGCGCUCAAGGAGCUCCUGCGCAAGCUCGAGCAGCUGGCGUACGGGGCAGAUGAUGUGCUGGAUGAGCUGGAGUACUUCCGCAUCCACGACGCCCUUCAUGGAACCUACCAUGCCGCCGACGUGAAUGCCGUGGGUUCCGUCCAUGCCAUCCGCAUCAAUGCUGAACACACGGCAAGGCAUGUCACCAGCAAACUCUUGGGUGCUCCUAGCCAUGGUGGUGACCAAGAAAGUGAUCCUAGUGAUCACCAAGAAAGUGAUCCCGGUGAACACCAAGAAAAUGAUGGCAAGCAACGAUGCCUCUCUGGCAUACGCUUGUGUGGCAGGCGGGGCAUCAGCUCCUCGUCACCGACGCCCGCCAACAAGGGGGGUGUCAAGAAGGUUGAUGGCAGAUGCAUGCCCAAGGUCAUCUCAAGUGCUCGCAACGCUGCCCACACAUUCGGUAAACACUUUCCAUGCUACUCUCCUAUAUCUGCCCACCAUGAUAAUCCUCAAGCCCAUGUGACUGUUCAAACCAAAAAUGAUGAUCCUCAAGCUAUCAUGCCGGAGCUUGCAAACCAUAGCGAUUGCGAAGAAUUGAAGUUUAAUAGGGUCCAAAUGUCUCAAAUGAUGAUGGACAUGGUAGUGCAGCUAAAGGAAGUAUGUGCUAAGGUCUCCAUAAUUCUUAAUCUAAAUUUGUUGGGCUCCAACUGCACUCACACCAAAGAAAUUGCUAUAAACAGAUCCAAAACCACAUCAGAGAUUGUAGAACCUGAUUUUUACGGGAGGGAUGACCAAAAGAAGAAAAUUGUAGAUGUCAUUAAUAGUCACGAGUACUCUUUCAGUCAACUUAACGUGCUUCCAAUUUUUGGAAUUGGGGGUAUUGGAAAAACAACUUUUACGCAACACAUAUGCCAAGAAAUGAGUAGCUAUUUCCAGGCUUCAAUUUGGGUAUGUGUCUCUCUUGAUUUCAGUGCAGAUAGGUUGGCACAAGAGAUAGUCAACAAAAUCGCUAAAGUUGAUGGUGAAAAGAAGAAUGCUAGUGCCGAAGAACUUAUCCAACAAAGAUUAAAAGGUAAGAGGUUUUUACUCGUCUUGGAUGAUAUGUGGACAUAUCGAGAGGAUGAGUGGAAAAAACUAAUAGCACCUUUGAAAAAGGUUGAGUCCAAGGGUAAUUUCAUUAUAGUCACAACUCGAAUACCAAUGGUAGCAGAAAUGGUUAAGACAACCAAUUGUGAACUAGAACUGGAAAGACUAGAUGAUGCAGAUACCAUGCGUUUCUUUGAAGCAUGUGUAUUUGGUAAUGAGCUAGAACCAUGGGGAAAACAUCCUGCUGCAUUACAUGAAACUGGUCAUGAAGUAGUGCGCCAUUUGAAAGGUUCCCCUCUUGCAACUAAAACUGUAGAAACCAUCCAUCUUCGUUACCUAAGGAUCGAGCCAAGCGAUGAUAGAUGCAACAUCGACUUACCGAAAUUAAGAAGAUUUCAAGUUCGAAAUGAUUGUACUGGUUUCGAAAUAAGUCAGCUCACGCAGUUAACAGAGUUGGGAGGGUCACUUGGCAUCUAUAAUCUUGAAAAGGUGCCAAAAAAGGGGGGCCGGGAUAAGGAAAUAAGACCAAUACAUAGGAACCACUUGCGUGAACUAACAUUAGAGUGGGAUGUGGAACGAUCUAACAGGGAACCAACAAGAGAAGAAAAUGUUAUUGAAAAUCUUGUACCACAUAGUGACCUUCGAGAUCUGUGCAUUACAGGACACGGAGGUACUAGUUGCCCAAGAUGGCUAGGUGAUAACCUCUUGGUCAAAAAUUUGGAAUCUCUUCACUUGGCUAAUGUAUCUUGGAAAACUUUUCCACCAUUAGGAGAGUUCUGGUCGGUCCAUGAGCCCCAUGGUGAGUGCAAGGGUUGCAUCGCAAGCCCAAGCUUUCAAAAAAAUUGUCUCAAAAAACAAGGCUUUCAAAAUUUGAAAAGGCUAGUGUUUGUUAAGAUACCAAAACUGAAAAGGUGGGCUGGAAAUCAAAAUUGUGGCUUCUUCCUCCACCUGGAAGUGGUCAUUAUUGAAGACUGCCCUGAACUUAUAGAGUUGCCGUUUUCAUGUUCUACUUGCUCUCAGCCAGAGCAGGAAGGAGAGAACAUGACUUGGUUCCCUAGACUAAGAAAGCUCAGGAUUGUAGGAUGCCCAAAGCUGAGGACAAUGCCUGCUAUCCCCUGGACUGAUAGUCUAUGCUCCAUUGAGAUAGAACAAACAGGCUCAAUUGAGGAGCUCACUUACUCAGAACCAAAAUUAAGUUUGGACAUUUACGCAGCGGAUGGUACAAGUAGCUUGUUUCCGAAAGAGUUGGCUUUCUGUAAUUUGAGUGCACUAAAAAUAUUGAAUCUACACAAUUGCCCUCCUUUGCCGUUGGAUAAAAUCCAAAUGCUAACAUCUCUGCGGGAGCUCACUAUAAGUGGUCGGUCGAGUAUUGUCCUGUCUCCAGUCGGAGGCGAGGGCCAUGUCCUGUGCCAGGUUCCAGUUGAAAACCUCACAAUUUAUGGAAGUGGUGCUAGCGGGAAAGAAUUGACUCAACUGCUCUCUCAUUUUCCGAAGCUCACCGGCCUGGCCAUAUAUGAUUGCGAAAAGAUAACAGAACUUGGUGUGUCAGAGCGGCAGAGUGGAGCACAGCAGCAAGAGACAAAAGAAGAGGAGGAAAUAGUGGCGACGGCAGAAGGAGGACUGCUGCUCUUGCCUACCCAACUACAGAAGCUGAUAGUCGAAAAUUGCCAUGAGCUGAGAAUAGUCCCCAAUUUAGGGGGCGACAACAACGAAGCAGCAGGAGGUCUCCAGCGUCUACACUCCCUCCGCCAAGUGCGCGCAGGUUGCCCCAAGUUGCUUUUCUCCUAUUCGGGCUCGAGCUCCUCGUCUUGUUUCCCUUUCCCGGCCUCCCUUGAAAAACUCUGCCUAUCCAAUCUUAAAGAAUUCAACAAUCUGGCCCUCACAAACCUAUCCAACCUGGAAGAACUCGAGCUUUGGGGCAUGGAGGACCUCACAAACCUAAGCGUCAGCCGUUCCUCAAAACUACAUACCCUAUCCAUAUAUAACUCCCCAGGAGUUCUUCCUGUGUCCAUCUGCAGCCUCAUCUCCACCUCUCUCACCAAAUUGAGCAUUUAUGGUUGCAAAGAGGUGGAGCCCAUCCCAGGAGAGGCCCUCCUGGUUCUCACCUCCCUCCAAGAGCUCGCAUUUGGUUACUGCCAGAAAUUGCAGUUCCUCCCUGCAGGACUACAUACACUUGCCAGCAUCAACUACUUGUGUAUCUUUGAAUGCACAUCCCUCCAGUCGCUGCCCAAGGACUGCCUCCCGAGUUGUCUGCAGAGAUUACAGAUCUCCAAUUGUCCUGAGCUGGAAUUGCUUCCCACUUUUUCGGACGGCCUCCGAACUUCUCUGCAAAAAUUGGAGAUCGCGAAUUGUCCUGCCAUAAAAUCAGUGCCCAAGGACGCCCUCCCGAGUUCUCUGCAGGAAUUACUGAUCCGGGAGUGUCCUGAAAUCAAAUCGCUUCACAAGGAUGGGCUUCCCAAAUCCCUGCGAGCACUACAUGUCCGUGAUUCCGAAAGCGAGGAGCUUAAAAGGCAGUGCCGCAGCUUGAUAGGGACAAUUCCAGGCUCUCUUUUUGUCUUUUUGAUUGGUUCAUCAUCAGCCUCGUACAAUUCUCUCUGGAUACAAAGUGUAGUUCGUUCUCUGGCUCUCAUCAGUUUUUCCCAGUGCAAGCACAAGACUUCAGUCUGUAUCAUCCAUGAUGUACGUAAUCAUCCCGAUUUUGUCAUCUUUCGCGGUGUAGCAAGCUUAAGGGACAAUUCCAGUAAAUCAAACACUGGUGGCCGGAGAUAUGUGUGCAAGGGCUGCGGCGGCUUGACAAAUUUUGCGAAGAAAGCUGUUAUAGGGAGGGGGAGGAAUAUAUAUAGGAAAGGUUCUGUGAACCACCAGCAAUCAAUCUCGGUAAAAGGUUGGUCCUGUGGGUUAAGGCAGACCUGGUUCUCCUGGUGUUCUUAUAUUCGCUCUGCAAUGCUUCAAAUUACUUUCGUUAAAAUCUUCGUGGUAACUCAUGAAGACAUGGUUUUCAAGUUCGCUACACUUCCACAACCUUUUCAUACAGUUUACAUCUUCAGGUUUGCAUUUCAUCGUGACAAGAUGCCCUCCAAGCCGAUCAUCCUUUUAUCUUAUGUUGCUAGCCUCAUCGGUACUUGGCAUUGCAUUUCCUACAUUGGGAUCUAG